Molecule: ribosomal RNA, 257 nt
Filed under: uncultured bacterium
Lineage: Bacteria
Description: partial 16S ribosomal RNA
Rfam family: Bacterial small subunit ribosomal RNA
Source: RNAcentral
UACGUAGGGAGCAAGCGUUGUCCGGAAUCAUUGGGCGUAAAGCGCGCGUAGGUGGCCUCAUAAGUCCGCUGUGAAAGUCAAAAGGCUCAACCUUUGAAAGCCGGUGGAUACUGUGAGGCUAGAGUACGGAAGAGGCGAGUGGAAUUCCUGGUGUAGCGGUGGAAUGCGCAGAUAUCAGGAGGAACACCGGUGGCGAAGGCGGGGUCUCUGGGGCCGAUACUGACGCUAAGGAGCGAAAAGCGUGGGGAGCGAACAGG